Molecule: non-coding RNA, 1547 nt
Organism: Nylanderia fulva
Lineage: Eukaryota; Metazoa; Arthropoda; Insecta; Hymenoptera; Formicidae
Source: RefSeq, a predicted model, not a curated record
AUAUUUACAUAUAUUGUAUGUUGCAUAAAAGUUAUUAAAAAUAUUUAAACUGCUCAACACUGAUGAUCAGUCGUACAAGAAUUAAUUCGUUAUUGAAUUUGCUUCUCUUGGAUCUUGUUUUAAAUAUAUGUACAUAUGUUACACAAAUAGUGGUCUUUCUGUAUCAUUUGAACAAUAGAAAUAUCAAAGGAACUGUCUACUGUCUCUCAUAGGCUUAUUCUCUUUUGUACUUUUAUACUUCAAUCAAUUGUAUUCGAAAAAAUGAGAAAGUAGCGAAUUCUGUCUAUCGACAUAUAAUUGUAACAAUUUUCAAACCCGUUCAAUUGACAUAUUGCGCGAAACAUAAGCAGGCAUUCGUUCCACCAAAGCCAAAAGCGUUUUUCAAAGCCGUUCGACGCGUCGUCGUCGUCGUCCACUUUGCCUUCGUAUGCGGUGCAAAGUUCAAGCGCGUCUCCAUGUCCAGGUUGUGCAGAUUCAAGGUGGGCGGUAUUACGCCUUCUUUAAUCGCUAAAAUCGUGAAGGCGGCCUCCAGGUUACCAGCGGCACCCAGCAAGUGACCGUGCGCACCCUUGGUGCUCGUCACCGUGACGUUUCUGCUGUGUUCACCCAUUAGCGACUCGAUCGCCUUCAACUCGAUCGUGUCGCCCAACGGCGUGGACGUGGCGUGAGCGUUUACGAACGUCACCUCCGAGCUCUCAAUGCCGGCGUCCUUCACCGUCCGGUCCAUCGCCAGGAGCGCGCCGAUACCAUCCUCGCUCGGCGCCGUUAUGUGAGACGCGUCGCCGGACAAACCAUAGCCCAACACCUCCGCGUAGAUGGGUACACCUCGGGCGAGCGCGUGAUUCAGCUCCUCCAGGACUAGGAUCGCGGCGCCCUCGCCCAUUACGAAACCGUCCCGGUCCCGAUCGAAUGGUCGCGACGCUUCCUCGGGCGCGUCGUUCUUCGACGUGCUCAGCGCACGUAGACGGCAGAAGGCGGCUAUCGCCAACGGGCUGACGCACGCUUCCGCGCCUCCGCACACCAUCACGCUCGUCUCGCCGCCGCGGAUGAAGCGAAACGCGUCUCCUGCGGAAGAGAGUGACCUAUGGCAUGUGCUCCUGUCGCGCACGCAGUUGACACAGAAUGAUUUGGCCCACGAAAGCCGUACUUGAUACUAAUCUGACCAGCUGCCAUAUUGGGCAAUAUUCUUGGGACGAAGAACGGACUGAUCUUGCUGUAUCCUUUCUUCAAAGCUUCGUACGUCAUGCAGACGUCUACCAGAUCUAUCAUGCCGAUUCCUACUGAGACUCCAGUGUCACGCUUAUCAUUCUCAUUGUUUGGUGUCCACUUCGCAUCCAAGAGUGCCUCUUUUGUGGCUAUCAGGGCGUAUGCAGUAGCAGGACACAUUGUACGUAAUUCAGUUUUAGUAAAAUGAGAGUCAAUGUUGAGUUCGUGAGGAGCAUUUCCUUUUGGCACUAACGCAGCUAUAAAAUAUGAAUUAAUUACAAUUUUGAGUAACUAAUUAUAACAGUAUUUGGAGUUGAUAAAUUUUGGUGUUAAAGUUGAUA